This 1497-nucleotide ribosomal RNA is filed under the name metagenome. Its description in RNAcentral is "bacterial SSU rRNA". It matches the Rfam family "Bacterial small subunit ribosomal RNA". The record is from RNAcentral.
GAGUUUGAUCAUGGCUCAGAUUGAACGCUGGCGGCAGGCCUAACACAUGCAAGUCGAACGGUAACAGGAAACAGCUUGCUGUUUCGCUGACGAGUGGCGGACGGGUGAGUAAUGUCUGGGAAACUGCCUGAUGGAGGGGGAUAACUACUGGAAACGGUAGCUAAUACCGCAUAACGUCGCAAGACCAAAGAGGGGGACCCUCGGGCCUCUUGCCAUCGGAUGUGCCCAGAUAGGAUUAGCUUGUUGGUGGGGUAGCGGCUCACCAAGGCGACGAUCCCUAGCUGGUCUGAGAGGAUGACCAGCCACACUGGAACUGAGACACGGUCCAGACUCCUACGGGAGGCAGCAGUGGGGAAUAUUGCACAAUGGGCGCAAGCCUGAUGCAGCCAUGCCGUGUGUAUGAAGAAGGCCUUCGGGUUGUAAAGUACUUUCAGCGGGGAGGAAGGGAGUAAAGUUAAUACCUUUGCUCAUUGACGUUACCCGCAGAAGAAGCACCGGCUAACUCCGUGCCAGCAGCCACGGUAAUACGGAGGGUGCAAGCGUUAAUCGGAAUUACUGGGCGUAAAGCGCACGCAGGCGGUUUGUUAAGUCAGAUGUGAAAUCCCCGGGCUCAACCUGGGAACUGCAUCUGAUACUGGCAAGCUUGAGUCUCGUAGAGGGGGGUAGAAUUCCAGGUUUAGCGGUGAAAUGCGUAGAGAUCUGGAGGAAUACCGGUGGCGAAGGCGGCCCCCUGGACGAAGACUGACGCUCAGGUGCGAAAGCGUGGGGAGCAAACAGGAUUAGAUACCCUGGUAGUCCACGCCGUAAACGAUGUCGACUUGGAGGUUGUGCCCUUGAGGCGUGGCUUCCGGAGCUAACGCGUUAAGUCGACCGCCUGGGGAGUACGGCCGCAAGGUUAAAACUCAAAUGAAUUAACGGGGGCCCGCACAAGCGGUGGAGCAUGUGGUUUAAUUCGAUGCAACGCGAAGAACCUUACCUGGUCUUGACAUCCACGGAAGUUUUCAGAGAUGAGAAUGUGCCUUCGGGAACCGUGAGACAGGUGCUGCAUGGCUGUCGUCAGCUCGUGUUGUGAAAUGUUGGGUUAAGUCCCGCAACGAGCGCAACCCUUAUCCUUUGUUGCCAGCGGUCCGGCCGGGAACUCAAAGGAGACUGCCAGUGAUAAACUGGAGGAAGGUGGGGAUGACGUCAAGUCAUCAUGGCCCUUACGACCAGGGCUACACACGUGCUACAAUGGCGCAUACAAAGAGAAGCGACCUCGCGAGAGCAAGCGGACCUCAUAAAGUGCGUCGUAGUCCGGAUUGGAGUCUGCAACUCGACUCCAUGAAGUCGGAAUCGCUAGUAAUCGUGGAUCAGAAUGCCACGGUGAAUACGUUCCCGGGCCUUGUACACACCGCCCGUCACCAUGGGAGUGGGUUGCAAAAGAAGUAGGUAGCUUAACCUUCGGGAGGGCGCUUACCACUUUGUGAUUCAUGACUGGGGUGAAGUCGUAACAAGGUA